This 425-nucleotide ribosomal RNA is filed under the name uncultured bacterium. RNAcentral's name for it is "partial 16S ribosomal RNA". It matches the Rfam family "Bacterial small subunit ribosomal RNA", at positions 354 to 796 of the family's 1533-position model. The record is from RNAcentral.
GUGGGGAAUAUCGCACAAUGGGGGAAACCCUGAUGCAGCGACGCCGCGUGAGCGAAGAAGUAUUUCGGUAUGUAAAGCUCUAUCAGCAGGGAAGAUAAUGACGGUACCUGACUAAGAAGCCCCGGCUAACUACGUGCCAGCAGCCGCGGUAAUACGUAGGGGGCAAGCGUUAUCCGGAUUUACUGGGUGUAAAGGGAGCGUAGACGGCAAGGCAAGUCUGAUGUGAAAACCCAGGGCUUAACCCUGGGACUGCAUUGGAAACUGGCUGGCUCGAGUGCCGGAGAGGUAAGCGGAAUUCCUAGUGUAGCGGUGAAAUGCGUAGAUAUUAGGAAGAACACCAGUGGCGAAGGCGGCUUACUGGACGGUAUCUGACGUUGAGGCUCGAAAGCGUGGGGAGCAAACAGGAUUAGAUACCCCAGUAGUCC